Molecule: transfer RNA, 63 nt
Filed under: Scorpiops jendeki
Lineage: Eukaryota; Metazoa; Arthropoda; Arachnida; Scorpiones; Euscorpiidae
Description: tRNA-Trp
Source: RNAcentral
AAAGUAUUAAGUUAAAUAAACUUUUAGCCUUCAAAGCUUGGAUUGGGUGUAUCUCAUAUUUUA